UACGUAGGGUGCGAGCGUUUGUCCGGAAUUACUGGGCGUAAAGAGCUCGUAGGUGGUUUGUCGCGUUGUUCGUGAAAACUCACAGCUCAACUGUGGGCGUGCGGGCGAUACGGGCAGACUGGAGUACUGCAGGGGGAGACUGGAAUUCCUGGUGUAGCGGUGGAAUGCGCAGAUAUUAGGAGGAACACCGGUGGCGAAGGCGGGUCUCUGGGGCAGUAACUGACGCUGAGGAGCGAAAGCGUGGGGGAGCGAACAGG
Molecule: ribosomal RNA, 257 nt
Filed under: uncultured bacterium
Lineage: Bacteria
Description: partial 16S ribosomal RNA
Rfam family: Bacterial small subunit ribosomal RNA
Source: RNAcentral